RNAcentral lists this ribosomal RNA (455 nucleotides) under uncultured bacterium. RNAcentral's name for it is "bacterial SSU rRNA". It matches the Rfam family "Bacterial small subunit ribosomal RNA", at positions 340 to 786 of the family's 1533-position model. The record is from RNAcentral.
UACGGGAGGCAGCAGUGGGGAAUAUUGCACAAUGGGCGAAAGCCUGAUGCAGCUAUGCCGCGUGUAUGAAGAAGGCCUUAGGGUUGUAAAGUACUUUCAUCGGGGAGGAAAAACAAAACUAAUAAUUUUAUUUCUUGACGUUACCCGAAAAAGAAGCACCGGCUAACUCCGUGCCAGCAGCCGCGGUAAUACGGAGGGUGCUAGCGUUAAUCAGAAUUACUGGGCGUAAAGAGCACGUAGGUGGUUUUUUUAAGUCAGAUGUGAAAUCCCUGGGCUUAACCUAGGAACUGCAUUUUGAAACUGAAAUACUAGAGUAUCGUAGAGGGAGGUAGAAUUCUAGGUGUAGCGGUGAAAUGCGUAGAUAUCUGGAGGAAUACCUGUGGCGAAAGCGGCCUCCUAAACGAAUACUGACACUGAGGUGCGAAAGCGUGGGGAGCAAACAGGAGUUAGAUACC